Molecule: long non-coding RNA, 2254 nt
Organism: Rosa chinensis
Lineage: Eukaryota; Viridiplantae; Streptophyta; Magnoliopsida; Rosales; Rosaceae
Exons: 6
Source: RefSeq, a predicted model, not a curated record
UAGGAAAUUUACAAUUGCAAGGAUCUACUUAAUUCCUUGUUUAUAUAUUUGGAAUACUUUGGGAGUCGGAGCCUUUAUCACCUGGCUCCAGUUAGAGAAAAAAAAAAUAUCAAAAGAAAGAGAAAUCUCUAUGGUUGAAGAACCGAGUGCCAACAUUCCAAACCACAACCCCCUAAUCCUGCUGUGACUUGUAGAUGCAGAACCCAUGAAUGAAGGCUCCGAGUCCGAUAGCAGGCUCUCUUGCAAACCCCACCCCGAAAGCUAACCACUCAGUCGUCAUCGCAGAUAAGGCUAGUAGAAAGACUUACUUUAACAAGUCGUUGUGGCCUGGGUAAUGGGAGAGCCUUAUGUUCUGGUGCAGAUGCUGUUACCCUUUAUCAACUAGUCAAUCAAGGGAAUGUUGAGGAAUGCAGAAAGUUUUACUAGACAUUGUAUAAGUUUGUAUAUAUUCAAGGAAUAUACUUGAAGCCACAUGAGAGUAUCAGAUAAGAGCUUCUUUUGAAAUUUAUCAUAUGGAACAGUUGGACAUUAUAAUGUUCAUGACAUUGUUGUUCUUUGUACCUAACUGCUAGAUUACUUCUACCAGUUUACUUAAUACUAGUUUAGCAGUAUAUAUGUGGGAUCAUGUGAUUUUCUUUCACAAACAGUAGUAUGUUUUGAUCUGUAGCAUACUAGUAUGUUUGGGUCUUAAAAGGUAUAUUUGUUUCUUCUAAUUUCUGUUUGCUAGAAAUUGUCAAUUCGAUUAUAAAGUUUGGUUAUAUAAAAUUUUGAAUUCAGUGGUGACAAAGUUAAGAAUAGUUUAGUAAUGUGUGAGAUCUCUUCAUUUAAGAAACCCCUGAUAAUCUUAUAAGCUAGUGUAACUUAAAGUGCAUGUUUCGCUUAGUUCUUGUGGCAAGACAGAGGAUAUAUGCUUUAGCCUAAGUGCGCACAUACUUGGUUUGAAAAUUGUUUAGGCAAUCUUUGAAAUCUGCCACAUAAGAAACCUCUGUCCAGUUGUUAUUUAAAGUGUUGAUUCAUCUAGUACUACAUUUUCAAUGGUAUUAAGAAUGCUCUUCUUUCACUUAAAGCUAUAAUUGGUUGUAUCAUAUCUAUUAAUGUUUUUGCUUUAUAUGUUUGUUUCUGUUCCAGGUAGAGAUCCUUAUGAAAAAAGUUAAGGAAUGUAGAACUGAAAUGACUAACAUUAAGAUCCUUUAGAACAUAGACAAAGUAAGGUGAAUAUUUUUAAAAUAUUGGUAACUAUUAAAUUGAAAACUUCUCUGACAGUUAAUAUAUAUGUAUUGGUUUGAUUUUUAUUUCUUGCUUUCUUUAGCAUGAGGUUAGAGCAUAUCCAAGAAAAUCAAGCUUAUAAAAUGCAUAUAAGAAUUUUAAGUCCAGGGUGAAGCAUACAAGAAUUUUGAUGAUUAAGUGCACUGUAAAUUUUUUACAGCACUUUAGCAUUGGUUUCAAGUAUUGAAGUUCACUAACUUCUAGUGUUAGGCUCAGCUUGUGUAUUUAUGACCGCAUAUAUGGGUCUUGGAUAUCUUUCUUGAUUGAAUUACUUGAUUCACUUUAAUCUUUCACUAUAAUCUUUGAACAAUUUCUUGCUGCAGGACAGUGACUAAGAAAUUGAGGCAGAGGAUAUGGAACCUGACAAGUACAUUUGAUUGACUGGUAUAUGAUUUUCUUUUUGCAUAAAGACUACAAUAAUUUGGCGCAACUAUUCGUGGUUUCAUGCAAGAUUUGAUGACCGAACCUUUCAAGAAUUAUAGAAAACCCAAAGCCGAUAUAUAGAUUUAUUCAUAUUUGCAUACACCUGGACUGAUGAGUUAUGUUCUUUGCCAAACCAUCGCAUCUCUAUUAUCUUAUUUUGUUGAUCUUAGUUCACAGUCUAACAUGUUUGACUGAAAUUUGAUUUCAUUGGAGGGGUCAUUUGGAAAAUGAACGGAAUAUGGAAACUAGGAAUUGUUCCAAGGCAUAUUACCUAGAAGUUACAGUACUGCUUUUGAAGGUUUUUUUUUUCCUCAGUUGGCUUUGGGCUUACAGUGCUCAACCCUUUGCAUGAUGGACAAGUUACCUUACCUCAGGUAACCAGCAAGAGUGGAGCUGCUCCAGCUAGAAGCGUAUUGUAGUUGUAAACUUGUAAAUAGGAAGCUUUGAGAUUAUCUCAAAGUCUUUGACGUAGGUCUUUGUGAACAUUUGAGUUAUUAAUCCUUGUGGAAUUUUCCAUAUGUAAUUAUUACUUUAUUUAUAAAUAAAAGUAAUUCAUUUAUUCAAA